Molecule: ribosomal RNA, 439 nt
Filed under: uncultured bacterium
Lineage: Bacteria
Description: bacterial SSU rRNA
Rfam family: Bacterial small subunit ribosomal RNA
Source: RNAcentral
CCUACGGGAGGCAGCAGUCGAGAAUAUUCGACAAUGGGCGAAAGCCUGAUCGAGCGACACCGCGUGCAGGAAGAAGGCCUUCGGGUUGUAAACUGCGGUAGUAAAAUAACAAUUAUUGAGUGUUUUACGGAAAGAGGUUGGUAACUACGUGCCAGCACCCGCGGUAAUACGUAGACCUCGAGCGUUAUCCGGAUUUAUUGGGCGUAAAGAGUAUGUAGGGGGUUCAGUGCGUCUUUAGUUAAAGCCCACCGCCUAACGGUGGAAGUGCUAGAGAUACGAUUGGACUAGAGGAGGUUAGAGGUGUGCAGAACGCAUGGUGUAGGGGUGAAAUCCGUUGAUAUCAUGGGGAACACCAAAGGCGAAGGCAGCACACUGGGACUUUCCUGACCCUGAGAUACGAAAGCGUGGGGAGCAAAAAGGAUUAGAUACCCUAGUAGUC